Molecule: long non-coding RNA, 616 nt
Organism: Gallus gallus (chicken)
Lineage: Eukaryota; Metazoa; Chordata; Aves; Galliformes; Phasianidae
Exons: 2
Source: RefSeq, a predicted model, not a curated record
GUAUCAUUAAAAAAAUUCAUAAUGUUUUAGCCAGCACUUGAGUCCUUGAGACAUGAUGAGAAACUAAGAGAUUUACCCUCUCCUUAAGGUUUACAGGACCGGUCUAACAAGAAGAGGCCAAACCCAACAGUGUUUAAGAUCUACACUAGGAAAUGUCAAAAGAAAGUUGCAUUAUGCACACUAACUUCACUCUACAUUGUACAACUCGGGGAUUAGAAGAAUACAAAACGACUUGUAAAGCAGAGCUUGGCAGCACGCUAUGAAACUUCGCUGAAGUCCGUCAGUUAAUGAAGAUUAAAUGCUGAACCUCAGCUCUCCAUUGUGACACAUCUUUUCAAGCAAUGUUGAAAUUGCUAUUUCUAUCCAAUCUGCAAUAAUUUAAAAAAUCCUUAUGUUAAAACUUCAAAACCAUUAUAAUCCCAUAUCUCCAUACGUAAUGUGUAGAUGUAAGGGGUAUCUGUGUGGCAGUUCCCAACUUCACUUUCACACCGCAGAAAAAAAGAAACCUGGUGGAAACAGCUGUAUGAAAUUUCUACAUAAGGCUGUUAUGUUAUCUGUUUGUAAAAUAAUUCCUGGAAUGUAAAAUGAAAGCUAUUAAAACUGGCAAUCCACAAAA